Molecule: long non-coding RNA, 564 nt
Organism: Cydia pomonella (codling moth)
Lineage: Eukaryota; Metazoa; Arthropoda; Insecta; Lepidoptera; Tortricidae
Exons: 2
Source: RefSeq, a predicted model, not a curated record
ACAAACGAAAUAAUAAUCAAUAAUAAUAUAACUAAAGACUGGUAAAAAUAAAACUUCAAUAUUUUACCCGAUUUCUGGAUGUUUUUUUAUUGAUUGGCAAUACCACGCUUUACGUCAAAGCGUAAAACGUAAUGUUGAUAUUGUAAACGUGAUCGUGGAAGGGCGAAUCCAAAGCUGAAAUAUUUUGAAAAGUAUGCUUAUGUUCGUUGUUUGAUUAAGUUACAAUAAUUGGCACCUAAAUCAUUAAAGUUAUUUUAAGUUUGAAAAGGGUUAACAAAGGGUUUAGCCUGUUUCACACCUACGCUAAUCCCAGCCGGACGGCGGCUAAGUCCAGUUCAACAAUUCGCUUGACUGAGGCUAUUGACCGUGGCUCAAACAAUGCGAAGAGCGAGGUCGACGAUUCGCGGUGCGCGGGAGUGCAGCGUGACGGGAACGGCGUACGCGCAACGGAACCAUGCACGAGAGAAUCAAUCUAAUAAUGAAAUAUGUAAGUAACAUAAACUAUCAGUGCUCAACGUAGCCUCUACCUUGUUAUUUGCUUAUCUAAUAUAUUUGAUAAAUCCA